GUAACUAUACUGCAGUCGACGCUUCCUACCGGUGCUUGCACCGGGAAAGAAGAGUGGCGGACGGGUGAGUAACACGUGGGUAACCUACCUACAAGCGGGGGAUAACAUUCGGAAACGGAUGCUAAUACCGCAUAGAUCUUUUUGUCUCCUGGCAGAAAGAAGAAAGACGGUUUCGGCUGUCACUUGUAGAUGGACCCGCGGCGCAUUAGUUAGUUGGUGAGGUAAUGGCUCACCAAGACGAUGAUGCGUAGCCGACCUGAGAGGGUGAUCGGCCACACUGGGACUGAGACACGGCCCAGACUCCUACGGGAGGCAGCAGUAGGGAAUCUUCCGCAAUGGACGAAAGUCUGACGGAGCAACGCCGCGUGAGUGAAGAAGGUUUUCGGAUCGUAAAACUCUGUUGUUAGAGAAGAACAAGGAUGAGAGUAACUGCUCGUCCCUUGACGGUAUCUAACCAGAAAGCCAUGGCUAACUACGUGCCAGCAGCCGCGGUAAUACGUAGAUGGCAAGCGUUGUCCGGAUUUAUUGGGCGUAAAGCGAGCGCAGGCGGUUCUUUAAGUCUGAUGUGAAAGCCCCUGGCUCAACCAGGGAGGGUCAUUGGAAACUGGAGAACUUGAGUGCAGAACAGAAAGUGGACUUUCAUGUGUAGCGGUGAAAUGCGUAGAUAUAUGG
Molecule: ribosomal RNA, 672 nt
Filed under: Enterococcus sp. C373
Lineage: Bacteria; Bacillati; Bacillota; Bacilli; Lactobacillales; Enterococcaceae
Description: bacterial SSU rRNA
Rfam family: Bacterial small subunit ribosomal RNA
Source: RNAcentral